Long non-coding RNA from Oncorhynchus masou masou (cherry salmon), 338 nucleotides. RefSeq lists it as uncharacterized. Lineage: Eukaryota; Metazoa; Chordata; Actinopteri; Salmoniformes; Salmonidae. The transcript is spliced from 3 exons. The record is from RefSeq and is a predicted model, not a curated record.
UUAUAUACCCUAAGUGAUAUUAUAGACCCUAAGUGAUAUUAUAUACCCUAAGUGAUAUUAUAUACCCUAAGUGGGAUAAGGAUGUCCAUAUGUCUUUCUAAUCUUUGUCUUUCUCUCCAUCUGUAUGUCCGUCUGUCUGUCUGUACAUCUUUAUGUCUGCCUGUCUUCCUGUAGGAGAUCCAGUCUGGUGAUCACCACCAAGCUCUACUGGGGUGGAAAAGCCGAAACCGAGAGAGGACUCAACAGGAAGCACAUCAUUGAAGGUCUGAGGAGCUCCCUACAGAGGAUGCAGCUGGAGUACGUGGAUGUUGUGUUUGCAAACCGGCCCGACAGCAACA